GACGAACGCUGGCGGCGUGCUUAACACAUGCAAGUCGAACGGAAAGGCCCUGCUUUUGUGGGGUGCUCGAGUGGCGAACGGGUGAGUAACACGUGAGUAACCUGCCCUUGACUUUGGGAUAACUUCAGGAAACUGGGGCUAAUACCGGAUAGGAGCUCCUGCUGCAUGGUGGGGGUUGGAAAGUUUCGGCGGUUGGGGAUGGACUCGCGGCUUAUCAGCUUGUUGGUGGGGUAGUGGCUUACCAAGGCUUUGACGGGUAGCCGGCCUGAGAGGGUGACCGGCCACAUUGGGACUGCGGUACGGCCCAGACUCCUACGGGAGGCAGCAGUGGGGAAUAUUGCACAAUGGGCGGACGCCUGAUGCAGCAACGCCGCGUGCGGGAUGACGGCCUUCGGGUUGUAAACCGCUUUCGCCUGUGACGAAGCGUGAGUGACGGUAAUGGGUAAAGAAGCACCGGCUAACUACGUG
This 468-nucleotide ribosomal RNA is filed under the name uncultured bacterium. Its description in RNAcentral is "partial 16S ribosomal RNA". It matches the Rfam family "Bacterial small subunit ribosomal RNA", at positions 28 to 507 of the family's 1533-position model. The record is from RNAcentral.